This is a non-coding RNA of Pangasianodon gigas (Mekong giant catfish), 73 nucleotides long. The record is from the annotation of a GenBank genome assembly. Lineage: Eukaryota; Metazoa; Chordata; Actinopteri; Siluriformes; Pangasiidae.
GGCGCGGUGGUCUAGUGGUUAGCGCGCUUGCCCCGCAUGACCAGGGCUCAGGGUUCGAUUCCCAUCUCAGCCC